Molecule: ribosomal RNA, 446 nt
Filed under: uncultured bacterium
Lineage: Bacteria
Description: partial 16S ribosomal RNA
Rfam family: Bacterial small subunit ribosomal RNA
Source: RNAcentral
CCUACGGGUGGCUGCAGUCGAGAAUCAUUCACAAUGGGGGAAACCCUGAUGGUGCGACGCCGCGUGGGGGAAUGAAGUUCUUCGUAUUGUAAACCCCUGUCAUGUGGGAGCAAAUUAAAAAGAUAGUACCACAAGAGGAAGAGACGGCUAACUCUGUGCCAGCAGCCGCGGUAAAACAGAGGUCUCAAGCGUUGUUCGGCAUCGCUGGGCGUAAAGCGUUCGUAGGCUGGUUGGUAAGUCGUGUGUGAAAGGCGCGGGCUCAACCCGCGGACGGCACAUGAUACUGCGAGACUAGAGUGAGGGAGAGGGAAGCGGAAUUCUCGGUGUAGCAGUGAAAUGCGUAGAUAUCGAGAAGAACACUCGUGGCGAAGGCGGGUUCCUGGACAUAAACUGACGCUGAGGCACGAAGGCCAGGGGAGCGAAAGGGAUUAGAUACCCGAGUAGUC